This 247-nucleotide ribosomal RNA is filed under the name uncultured bacterium. RNAcentral's name for it is "partial 16S ribosomal RNA". It matches the Rfam family "Bacterial small subunit ribosomal RNA", at positions 525 to 771 of the family's 1533-position model. The record is from RNAcentral.
ACAUAGGGGGCAAGCGUUAUCCGGAAUUAUUGGGUGUAAAGGGUGCGUAGACGGAAGAACAAGUUGGUUGUGAAAUCCCUCGGCUCAACUGAGGAACUGCAACCAAAACUAUUCUCCUUGAGUGUCGGAGAGGAAAGUGGAAUUCCUAGUGUAGCGGUGAAAUGCGUAGAUAUUAGGAGGAACACCAGUGGCGAAGGCGACUUUCUGGACGAUAACUGACGUUGAGGCACGAAAGUGUGGGGAGCAA